RNAcentral lists this long non-coding RNA (682 nucleotides) under Camelus dromedarius (Arabian camel). Its description in RNAcentral is "lncRNA (ENSCDRG00005003467.1)". Lineage: Eukaryota; Metazoa; Chordata; Mammalia; Artiodactyla; Camelidae. The record is from RNAcentral.
UGCCAGCUGCUGAGGAGAAUGAGCUUGGAGCUGCUGGGCUUAACCCGGCGCGGCUCAGAGGUGGGAUGCUGAAGGAUUUGGGGAGGCAGCUGCAACAGGGCAUCACUCACUGUCCAAGUGUUUCCGUUUCUGAGCGCAAAAAGAAGAACUUAAGCGGGCGUCAGUUGGAGUUUAAAUUGCUUUGUAGUAUUUAAAAGCAGCGUGGAUCGUGGGCAGCUUGAGCUGCAGUCAACCAACAGGACUUCCUAUGAAAUCACUGACCACCGUGUGCUCCUCCAGCCUCUUUUAACUCCUGAUUCUAGGAGCCUGAGAACUAAAGAGAACCACAAAGAGCCACAAGCACUCACCCUCAACCCUGAUGAAGCAGUUCACAAAGGAAGUCUCACAUGGAUGAAAGCUAUCUAUAGCUAUCUCUACCCUUUCACCAGAGCCUAAACAGGGCACAUGGUAGACACUCAAUAAACAAGGUAAUUUUCUAUUUCAGCUCUAAGAUAAUACUUAAUUGAGGAGUGGUACCAGAACUCAUUUUUUGGAACAUGGGUGUAAGCAGCAGUCUCCAAGAUGAUGCCUCCAGUGAUCCCCACCUCCUGAUAUUUGUACUCUGUGUAUUUCCCUCCCCUUGAGUGUGGCUGAUUUAUUGACUUGCUUCUAAUGAAUAGGAUAAGGCAAAAGUGAUAGGUUG